UUUAACGGCCGCGGUAUUUUGACCGUGCAAAGGUAGCGCAAUCACUUGUCUUUUAAAUGAAGACCUGUAUGAAUGGCAUAACGAGGGCUUAACUGUCUCCUUUUUCCAGUCAAUGAAAUUGAUCUCCCCGUGCAGAAGCGGGGAUAAAUACAUAAGACGAGAAGACCCUAUGGAGCUUCAAACAAAAAACGGACCAUGUCAAUAAAACCAUUUAACAGGUAUAAACCUAUUGGUCCCCGUUUUAAUGUUUUUGGUUGGGGCGACCGCGGGGUAUAAAAUAACCCCCACGUGGAAUGAGAGAACUUCUCUCAUAACCCAGACUGGCAAGUCUAAGUAUCAGAACAUCUGACCAAUAAUGAUCCGGCAANNNNNCAACGGACCGAGUUACCCUAGGGAUAACAGCGCAAUCCUCUCCUAGAGCCCAUAUCGACGAGAGGGUUUACGACCUCGAUGUUGGAUCAGGACAUCCUAAUGGUGCAACCGCUAUUAAGGGUUCGUUUGUUCAACGAUUAAAGUCCU
This 519-nucleotide ribosomal RNA is filed under the name Xenentodon cancila (freshwater garfish). Its description in RNAcentral is "partial 16S large subunit ribosomal RNA". It matches the Rfam family "Bacterial large subunit ribosomal RNA", at positions 1923 to 2597 of the family's 2925-position model. The record is from RNAcentral. Lineage: Eukaryota; Metazoa; Chordata; Actinopteri; Beloniformes; Belonidae.